This 504-nucleotide ribosomal RNA is filed under the name uncultured bacterium. RNAcentral describes it as "partial 16S ribosomal RNA". It matches the Rfam family "Bacterial small subunit ribosomal RNA", at positions 30 to 523 of the family's 1533-position model. The record is from RNAcentral.
AUUGAACGCUGGCGGCAGGCUUAACACAUGCAAGUCGAGCGGGGUGAUGGUGCUUGCACUAUCACUUAGCGGCGGACGGGUGAGUAAUGCUUAGGAAUCUGCCUAUUAGUGGGGGACAACAUCUCGAAAGGGAUGCUAAUACCGCAUACGUCCUACGGGAGAAAGCAGGGGAUCACUUGUGACCUUGCGCUAAUAGAUGAGCCUAAGUCGGAUUAGCUAGUUGGUGGGGUAAAGGCCUACCAAGGCGACGAUCUGUAGCGGGUCUGAGAGGAUGAUCCGCCACACUGGGACUGAGACACGGCCCAGACUCCUACGGGGAGGCAGCAGUGGGGAAUAUUGGACAAUGGGGGGAACCCUGAUCCAGCCAUGCCGCGUGUGUGAAGAAGGCCUUAUGGUUGUAAAGCACUUUAAGCGAGGAGGAGGCUCUUUUGGUCAAUACCCAAGAUGAGUGGACGUUACUCGCAGAAUAAGCACCGGCUAACUCUGUGCCAGCCGCCGCAGUAA